Molecule: ribosomal RNA, 335 nt
Filed under: uncultured Acinetobacter sp.
Lineage: Bacteria; Pseudomonadati; Pseudomonadota; Gammaproteobacteria; Moraxellales; Moraxellaceae
Description: bacterial SSU rRNA
Rfam family: Bacterial small subunit ribosomal RNA
Source: RNAcentral
GCUCAGAUUGAACGCUGGCGGCAGGCUUAACACAUGCAAGUCGAGCGGGGAAGUAUAGCUUGCUAUACGACCUAGCGGCGGACGGGUGAGUAAUGCUUAGGAAUCUGCCUAUUAGUGGGGGACAACAUUCCGAAAGGAAUGCUAAUACCGCAUACGCCCUACGGGGGAAAGCAGGGGAUCUUCGGACCUUGCGCUAAUAGAUGAGCCUAAGUCAGAUUAGCUAGUUGGUGGGGUAAAGGCCUACCAAGGCGACGAUCUGUAGCGGGUCUGAGAGGAUGAUCCGCCACACUGGGACUGAGACACGGCCCAGACUCCUACGGGAGGCAGCAGAAGGG